Molecule: ribosomal RNA, 465 nt
Filed under: uncultured bacterium
Lineage: Bacteria
Description: partial 16S ribosomal RNA
Rfam family: Bacterial small subunit ribosomal RNA
Source: RNAcentral
GACGAACGCUGGCGGCGUGCUUAACACAUGCAAGUCGAACGGAAAGGCCCUGCUUGCAGGGUACUCGAGUGGCGAACGGGUGAGUAACACGUGGGUGAUCUGCCCUGCACUUCGGGAUAAGCCUGGGAAACUGGGUCUAAUACCGGAUAGGAGCCAUUUUCAGUGUGAUGGUUGGAAAGUUUUUUCGGUGUAGGAUGAGCUCGCGGCCUAUCAGCUUGUUGGUGGGGUAAUGGCCUACCAAGGCGGCGACGGGUAGCCGGCCUGAGAGGGUGGACGGCCACAUUGGGACUGAGAUACGGCCCAGACUCCUACGGGAGGCAGCAGUGGGGAAUAUUGCACAAUGGGCGCAAGCCUGAUGCAGCGACGCCGCGUGGGGGAUGACGGCCUUCGGGUUGUAAACUCCUUUCGCUAGGGACGAAGCUUUUUGUGACGGUACCUAGAUAAGAAGCACCGGCUAACUACGUG